RNAcentral lists this long non-coding RNA (296 nucleotides) under Mytilus galloprovincialis (Mediterranean mussel). The record is from RNAcentral. Lineage: Eukaryota; Metazoa; Mollusca; Bivalvia; Mytilida; Mytilidae.
AAAUGAUGUUCUGAAACAUUUCUAUCUUGAUGCCCGUAAACCAGAUGGAGAAAUGUAUAAAGUAAAUUCCCUGGAUUCAUUCCGAUACUCUCUAAAUAGAUAUAUAAAGGCUCCCCCUUUUUUAAAGGAAUUUGACAUUAUGAAACAUGAAGCCUUUAAUGAAUCAAACCAAGUAUUUAAAACCGCCCUUACAGAAUUGAAAGCCAACGGAAAAGGAGCCACACAGCACUUUCCAAUAAUAUCAGAAAUUGACAGGACAAAAUUGUACUCUUCAACUUUUAUGCAAACACACUCCC